UUUUUUUUUCCAGCGCCGCCUCCUCUCAUCCCUGGCGCCGCCUCCUCUCAUCCCUAGCGCCGCCCCUGCUCCUAAGCUUGCAGUCCCAAUCGGCGAACCUCUCCAUCCACGGGAGCUGCUGCCAUCACCGGUUGCUCAUUAGAGUAGAGGGAGGAUUGGCUGCUUCCUGGUGGUGCUCUGCUGGACGCAGGGGGCAAGGAGGCAAUUAAGAGGGCAGCAGAGAAAGGGGAGGGCAGCAGAAGGUUUGACAAAUUCUAGUAGCGAGCGCGUGGUGCCGGAUUCCCGAUAAGAUUAAGGCAAGUGCAAUGACGAACCUCUUGAUGUGUGAUUAUGUUUGUGGCUUUCUUGCUGCCCUUGGGCGACGUUUAUUCAAUAUCUUUAUUUUAUAUGUCAAUUCCUUUAAGAAUCAUGUCAUAAUUUUAUGGUUCUGUCAAAUAUUCAAGAUUCGUAUGUUGCCUUUCAUAUCAUUGAAGUGCCGGAGGUUUGUAUAAACACCGGUUGUGCAAUUUGGGUCUUAUGUUCAGGUUCCUGUGAAUAAGUGCUGGCCACACUUAUUUGGCUUUACCGGUAAAUGCUAAGAAAAUUUCAAGUGACGUACGUUUCAGAGGGUAACUACUAUUUUAUUGUUGUUCCAUAAUUUUGGAAUCCCACUGUUCAUGUACUUGCAGUCAUUUUACCGGUUCCGAAUUGUGCUUGCUGAGUAUUUUUACUCACUCUUGUGUUUAUUUGGCUUUUAGGUGCUCACUGAUCCAGUUUGCAUGGGAUGGGAGUAGCCACUUCAUGAUGAGCAUGCACACAUUUUUUUUUGCGAUUCAUUAAACAAAUCUCUAGGCUGAUUUAUUCUUUUGAUAUCGAGAACUGUCGUGUGGUCGUUUGGAUGUUGCUUAAAUUCGUUUGGUCAUGUUCAUGAUGAGCAUGCAAAAUGAACUAAAUUCGUUUGGUCAUGUU
Molecule: long non-coding RNA, 948 nt
Organism: Panicum virgatum (switchgrass)
Lineage: Eukaryota; Viridiplantae; Streptophyta; Magnoliopsida; Poales; Poaceae
Exons: 2
Source: RefSeq, a predicted model, not a curated record